GAUGAACGCUGGCGGCGUGCCUAAUACAUGCAAGUCGAGCGAACGGACGAGAAGCUUGCUUCUCUGAUGUUAGCGGCGGACGGGUGAGUAACACGUGGAUAACCUACCUAUAAGACUGGGAUAACUUCGGGAAACCGGAUCUAAUACCGGAUAAUAUUUUGAACCGCAUGGUUCAAAAGUGAAAGACGGUCUUGCUGUCACUUAUAGAUGGAUCCGCGCUGCAUUAGCUAGUUGGUAAGGUAACGGCUUACCAAGGCAACGAUGCAUAGCCGACCUGAGAGGGUGGUCGGCCACACUGGAACUGAGACACGGUCCAGACUCCUACGGGAGGCAGCAGUAGGGAAUCUUCCGCAAUGGGCGAAAGCCUGACGGAGCAACGCCGCGUGAGUGAUGAAGGUCUUCGGAUCGUAAAACUCUGUUAUUAGGGAAGAACAUAUGUGUAAGUAACUGUGCACAUCUUGACGGUACCUAAUCAGAAAGCCACGGCUAACUACGUG
This 497-nucleotide ribosomal RNA is filed under the name uncultured bacterium. RNAcentral's name for it is "partial 16S ribosomal RNA". It matches the Rfam family "Bacterial small subunit ribosomal RNA", at positions 28 to 507 of the family's 1533-position model. The record is from RNAcentral.